GAUGAACGCUGGCGGCGUGCUUAACACAUGCAAGUCGAACGAAAGGACCCAAGCUUGCUUGGUUACUCGUGUGGCGAAGGCGUGAGUAAAACGUGGGGGUCCUGCCCUGCUCUUCCGGAUAAGCCUGGGAAACUGGGUCUAAUAUCGCAGAGGACGAUGGUUACGACGUCAUUCCGGAAAGUAUUUCCGGUGUGGGAUGAGCUCGCGGUCUAUCAGCUCGUUGGUGGGGUAAUGGUCUAGUAAGGCGUCGACGGGGAGCCGGCCCGAGAGAGUGUACGGCCACAUUGGGACCGAGCGACAGGCCAGACUCGCGCGUGAGGCGGCAGUGGGGAAAAUUUGACGAAGGGCGCCAGCCUGAUGCAGCGACGCCGCGUGGUGGAUGACGGCCUUCGGGUGGUAAACUCCUUUGGCUAGGGACGAAGCGUCUUUGUGACGGUACCUGGUGAGGAAGCACCGGCUAACUACGUG
Molecule: ribosomal RNA, 468 nt
Filed under: uncultured bacterium
Lineage: Bacteria
Description: partial 16S ribosomal RNA
Rfam family: Bacterial small subunit ribosomal RNA
Source: RNAcentral